AAUCCCGAGGUUUAGACGUUAGUUGGUCCGCUUUGAUCCGAGCAAGAGCGUGGAGCAGAAGACCGCCCUGCGUUAUCCCCCGGCUUGGCCGCGGGGCACCUGUGCGCUCCCGCUGCGCCUUGGGCCGGGCUGCCUUUGUUUCUUUAGAGCACAGCACUCGGCAGCCCCUGCGCCCUCGGCCUACCUCCGCAGCAGCUGGGAACCGGGCAGCCCAGCGGGCCGGCCGCACGGCGUUACCAGAGCUGCCGCGGCCGCCUGGAGCCCCAGCCGCCAUCCUGAGAAUUCGCCGAGCUUCCAGGCGAAUAGCCUGGCCAGGCCCCAUGCUGGAGCCGAAGGGCUGCUGAGCCCGGCCUGCUCUGCCGGCUCGCCUCGGCCUGAAUUCCACGCAGACCCACGUCUUCGGCCAAGGAACCCCUUCUUAACACGUAUAUUAUUCAGAAUAAAAACUUUAUUUCUUUUUGUUUCUCAGAAUGUGAGCAGCAAGGAAUGUAGAAUUCUCAAAACAAAUCUAGUAUUUUUCGCGUUUACAGAUUUUUUUUUUUCAGUUUUGCCGGAUGUUACAAACCUAAAUCACUGUUUUCAAAAGCUGGAUCUUCUCUGGUUUUAUUGCAUCAUUACCGUUUAAAGGAAUUAUACUUCCCUUUGAAAUAAAAAAAAAAAUUCUAAGUACGCCAAUACACAAUUGAACAAAAGGCCCAAGAACCCUCUGAACCAUCAGGGUACAGAAUUUCUUUAAUAUAAAUACGAACGGAUGGGGAUAAAUAAUAUUUAAAACUUAGAUUAUUCAAUGCUUGCAAAAAAAUAUAAAUAAAUCUGACUGUUCACCAGCAUACACACACGGAAAGACGUACACUUAGUCAUCCUUGCACAGGGAGCCCCUGUUUCAAAGCGCCUUUGAUUUUUUUUUCUCAUUCUUUAUAAGAAGUGCAAUUAAAAAAAUUAAAAUUAAAAAAAGUAAUCGCUUCCCCUCGGGAGCCAUAAUGUACGAACAAAUUCACAUUGAAAACUCGACUAGAAAAUUUGUUCAUAUACCCUGUUUCUGAUCAAAGAGUGGAGAAGGUAAAGGGUGCAGGGCCAGUGGCCUAUCGAGGAGCACGAAGAGAUAAAUAUCGCUACUGAUACAGCCAUUCCAGCAACCAAGAUUGCUACGUCACAUAAACUAUAAAAACGCCUUCCCAACGAGGGGGGAAACCGGGAAAGGAGUGCGGGGGCGGAGAAGAGAGAAAAGGAAGGAAGGAAGGAAAGGGCAGGAAGAACCUAAAAAAAAAAAAAAAAAAA
RNAcentral lists this long non-coding RNA (1278 nucleotides) under Macaca fascicularis (crab-eating macaque). RNAcentral describes it as "lncRNA (ENSMFAG00000045540.2)". The record is from RNAcentral. Lineage: Eukaryota; Metazoa; Chordata; Mammalia; Primates; Cercopithecidae.